This 569-nucleotide ribosomal RNA is filed under the name Rhodotorula diobovata. RNAcentral describes it as "LSU rRNA". It matches the Rfam family "Eukaryotic large subunit ribosomal RNA", at positions 63 to 644 of the family's 3401-position model. The record is from RNAcentral. Lineage: Eukaryota; Fungi; Basidiomycota; Microbotryomycetes; Sporidiobolales; Sporidiobolaceae.
AACUAACAAGGAUUCCCCUAGUAGCGGCGAGCGAAGCGGGAAGAGCUCAAAUUUAUAAUCUGGCACCUUCGGUGUCCGAGUUGUAAUCUCUAGAAGUGUUUUCCGCGUUGGACCGCACACAAGUCUGUUGGAAUACAGCGGCAUAGUGGUGAAACCCCCGUAUAUGGUGCGGACGCCCAGCGCUUUGUGAUACACUUUCAAUGAGUCGAGUUGUUUGGGAAUGCAGCUCAAAUUGGGUGGUAAAUUCCAUCUAAAGCUAAAUAUUGGCGAGAGACCGAUAGCGAACAAGUACCGUGAGGGAAAGAUGAAAAGCACUUUGGAAAGAGAGUUAACAGUACGUGAAAUUGUUGGAAGGGAAACGCUUGAAGUCAGACUUGCUUGCCGGAGCUUGCUUCGGUUUGCAGGCCAGCAUCAGUUUUCCGGGGUGGAUAAUGACGGUUUGAAGGUAGCAGUCUCGGCUGUGUUAUAGCUUUCCGUUGGAUACGCCCUGGGGGACUGAGGAACGCAGCGUGCUUUUUGCGAAAGACUCGUCUUUUUCACGCUUAGGAUGCUGGUGGAAUGGCUUAAAC